GAUGAACGCUGGCGGCGUGCCUAAUACAUGCGAGUCGAGCGAACAGACGAGGAGCUUGCUCCUCUGACGUUAGCGGCGGACGGGUGAGUAACACGUGGAUAACCUACCUAUAAGACUGGGAUAACUUCGGGAAACCGGAGCUAAUACCGGAUAAUAUAUUGAACCGCAUGGUUCAAUAGUGAAAGACGGUUUUGCUGUCACUUAUAGAUGGAUCCGCGCCGCAUUAGCUAGUUGGUAAGGUAACGGCUUACCAAGGCAACGAUGCGUAGCCGACCUGAGAGGGUGAUCGGCCACACUGGAACUGAGACACGGUCCAGACGCCUACGGGAGGCAGCAGUAGGGAAUCGUACGCAAUGGGCGAAAGCCUGACGGAGCAACGGCGCGUGAGUGAUGAAGGUCUUCGGAUCGUAAAACUCUGUUAUUAGGGAAGAACAAAUGUGUAAGUAACUAUGCACGUCUUGACGGUACCUAAUCAGAAAGCCACGGCUAACUACGUG
RNAcentral lists this ribosomal RNA (497 nucleotides) under uncultured bacterium. RNAcentral describes it as "partial 16S ribosomal RNA". It matches the Rfam family "Bacterial small subunit ribosomal RNA", at positions 28 to 507 of the family's 1533-position model. The record is from RNAcentral.